This 500-nucleotide ribosomal RNA is filed under the name uncultured bacterium. RNAcentral's name for it is "partial 16S ribosomal RNA". It matches the Rfam family "Bacterial small subunit ribosomal RNA", at positions 30 to 523 of the family's 1533-position model. The record is from RNAcentral.
AUUGAACGCUGGCGGAAUGCUUUACACAUGCAAGUCGAACGGCAGCACGGACUUCGGUCUGGUGGCGAGUGGCGAACGGGUGAGUAACAUAUCGGAACGUAUCCAAUAAUGGGGGAUAACGAGUCGAAAGAUUCGCUAAUACCGCAUACGCCCUACGGGGGAAAGCUGGGGACCUUCGGGCCUGGCGUUAAUGGAGCGGCCGAUAUCUGAUUAGCUAGUUGGUGAGGUAAAGGCUCACCAAGGCGACGAUCAGUAGCUGGUCUGAGAGGACGACCAGCCACACUGGAACUGGGACACGGUCCAGACUCCUACGGGAGGCAGCAGUGGGGAAUUUUGGACAAUGGGCGCAAGCCUGAUCCAGCCAUUCCGCGUGAGUGAAGAAGGCCUUCGGGUCGUAAAGCUCUUUCGCAAGGGAAGAAAACUUAGCCACUAACAUUGGUUGAGGUUGACGGUACCUUGAUAAGAAGCACCGGCUAACUACGUGCCAGCAGCCGCGGUAA